GAUGAACGCUAGCGCGAGGCCUAACACAUGAAAGCCGAGCGGUAUUGUUUCUUCGGAAAUGAGAGAGCGGCGUACGGGCGCGUAACACGUGUGCAACCUGCCUUUAUCUGAGGGAUAGCCUUUCGAAAGGAAGAUUAAUACUCCAUAAUAUAUUGAACGGCAUCGUUUAAUAUUGAAAGCUACUGCGGAUAGAGAUGGGCACGCGCAAGAUUAGCUAGUUGGUAAGGUAACGGCUCACCAAGGCGAUGAUCUUUAGGGGGCCUGAGAGGGUAAUCCACCACACUGGUACUCAGACACGGACCAGACUCCUGCGUGAGGCAGCAGUGAGGAAUCUUGGUAAAUUGGUGCAAGCCUGAACCAGCCAUCCCGCGUGAAUGACGACUGCCCUAUGGGUUGGAAACUUCUUUUGUAUAGGGAUAAACCUACCCUCGUGAGGGUAGCUGAAGGUACUAUACGAAUAAGCACCGGCUAACUCCGUGCCAGCCGCCGCAGUAA
Molecule: ribosomal RNA, 495 nt
Filed under: uncultured bacterium
Lineage: Bacteria
Description: partial 16S ribosomal RNA
Rfam family: Bacterial small subunit ribosomal RNA
Source: RNAcentral